UAAUCCUCGAAAGAGUUGGACUAUGAAGCACAAACAGAAGAAGAAACACCUGGAGAGGAAGUUCUUACAACAGCCUGGAAAACAGUCAAAAUGUAGAAGAGGAAAGUUGGAUUUCCAAGAUGUUCUGCCAAGUAGGGCCAAGGUACUGGCCCCAACUCAAGACCAUCAAGUGGUAGAUACUUCUUCUUCAUCACUGGAGGACUUCCCCUAUGGAGGCAGAUUCCUGGCUGCAGGUAUGGAGGCACUAUUGACCAAGGUCAGAAGGGAGGGUAGGGUCUAGGCAUAUCCCAGAAUCGAGAUAAAUGCUUCUGAACAUCAGCUGAUACAAGGCUGCUCAGUCAGGAAGAAAGAGAAAAUAAUCCACGGUGGAAACAACAAAUGUGAAAGGGGAAACACAUGAGAGGACUGCAGGAAGCCCAAGAUCAUCAUACGGUUGGUGGAGAGUGCCUGGGGGAGACGAGCAUGAUCAGUGCUGCACAGGCACAGUACAGGGCAGGGAAGAGCAUCACAGACUGCCAGGAAGGAACACAGGCACCAGUGGCUUACAAGAAGCCCAGAAUAAUAGGAGCCUCAAGAGAUCUGACUUGAGACGCAUUAAAGAGAUGCCCAGUCUAAGGUCACAGCACAUCCACGUAUUGUCCUACCAAUACUCUCACAUGUAUUACUCUAGAGACCCAUCUGCACUGCUACCUGCUUCUCUCAUUUCCUUAUAAUCUCCCAGGU
RNAcentral lists this long non-coding RNA (723 nucleotides) under Chinchilla lanigera (long-tailed chinchilla). Its description in RNAcentral is "lncRNA (ENSCLAG00000025043.1)". Lineage: Eukaryota; Metazoa; Chordata; Mammalia; Rodentia; Chinchillidae. The record is from RNAcentral.